GAGGGUAUAGCUCAGUGGUAGAGUGCACGCCUAGUAUGACGAGGUACUGGGGUCAAUCCCCAGUACCUCCA
RNAcentral lists this transfer RNA (71 nucleotides) under Camelus ferus (Wild Bactrian camel). It matches the Rfam family "tRNA". From Rfam's summary of the family: Transfer RNA (tRNA) molecules are approximately 80 nucleotides in length. The record is from Rfam by way of RNAcentral. Lineage: Eukaryota; Metazoa; Chordata; Mammalia; Artiodactyla; Camelidae.